Molecule: ribosomal RNA, 1136 nt
Filed under: uncultured bacterium
Lineage: Bacteria
Description: bacterial SSU rRNA
Rfam family: Bacterial small subunit ribosomal RNA
Source: RNAcentral
UGGAAAGAUUUAUCGGUCUUGGAUGGACUCGCAGCCUAUCAGCUUGUUGGUGAGGUAAUGGCUCACCAAGGCGACGACGGGUAGCCGGCCUGAGAGGGUGACCGGCCACACUGGGACUGAGACACGGCCCAGACUCCUACGGGAGGCAGCAGUGGGGAAUAUUGCACAAUGGGCGCAAGCCUGAUGCAGCGACGCCGCGUGAGGGAUGACGGCCUUCGGGUUGUAAACCUCUUUCAGUAGGGAAGAAGCCUUCGGGUGACGGUACCUGCAGAAGAAGCGCCGGCUAACUACGUGCCAGCAGCCGCGGUAAUACGUAGGGCGCGAGCGUUAUCCGGAAUUAUUGGGCGUAAAGAGCUCGUAGGCGGUUUGUCGCGUCUGCUGUGAAAGCCCGGGGCUUAACUCCGGGUGUGUAGUGGGUACGGGCAGACUAGAGUGCAGUAGGGGAGACUGGAAUGCCUGGUGUAGCGGUGAAAUGCGCAGAUAUCAGGAGGAACACCGAUGGCGAAGGCAGGUCUCUGGGCUGUUACUGACGCUGAGGAGCGAAAGCAUGGGGAGCGAACAGGAUUAGAUACCCUGGUAGUCCAUGCCGUAAACGUUGGGCACUAGGUGUGGGGGACAUUCCACGUUUUCCGCGCCGUAGCUAACGCAUUAAGUGCCCCGCCUGGGGAGUACGGCCGCAAGGCUAAAACUCAAAGGAAUUGACGGGGGCCCGCACAAGCGGCGGAGCAUGCGGAUUAAUUCGAUGCAACGCGAAGAACCUUACCAAGGCUUGACAUGUGCCAGACCGCCAUAGAGAUAUGGUUUCCCUUUUGGGCUGGUUCACAGGUGGUGCAUGGUUGUCGUCAGCUCGUGUCGUGAGAUGUUGGGUUAAGUCCCGCAACGAGCGCAACCCUCGUUCCAUGUUGCCAGCGGGUUAUGCCGGGGACUCAUGGGAGACUGCCGGGGUCAACUCGGAGGAAGGUGGGGACGACGUCAAAUCAUCAUGCCCCUUAUGUCUUGGGCUUCACGCAUGCUACAAUGGCCGGUACAAUGGGUUGCGAUACUGUGAGGUUGAGCUAAUCCCAAAAAGCCGGUCUCAGUUCGGAUUGGGGUCUGCAACUCGACCCCAUGAAGUCGGAGUCGCUAGUAAUCGCAGA